UACGGAGGGUGCAAGCGUUAAUCGGAAUUACUGGGCGUAAAGCGUGCGUAGGCGGUUCGUUAAGUCUGCUGUGAAAGCUCCGGGCUCAACCUGGGAAUGGCAGUGGAUACUGGCGAGCUAGAGUGUGAUAGAGGAUGGUGGAAUUCCCGGUGUAGCGGUGAAAUGCGUAGAGAUCGGGAGGAACAUCAGUGGCGAAGGCGGCCAUCUGGAUCAACACUGACGCUGAGGCACGAAAGCGUGGGGAGCAAACAGG
RNAcentral lists this ribosomal RNA (253 nucleotides) under uncultured bacterium. Its description in RNAcentral is "partial 16S ribosomal RNA". It matches the Rfam family "Bacterial small subunit ribosomal RNA", at positions 524 to 776 of the family's 1533-position model. The record is from RNAcentral.